Molecule: long non-coding RNA, 404 nt
Filed under: Rattus norvegicus (Norway rat)
Lineage: Eukaryota; Metazoa; Chordata; Mammalia; Rodentia; Muridae
Description: long non-coding RNA NONRATT025561
Source: RNAcentral
GGUGAGGGCACUGGCCUUGGCAGACAAGGGCCCUGCGAGGGGACACUUGGUCCCACAGUCAUCUCCAGCCGAUUCCAGCCUCUGCGACCCAAGCAGAAGCCGCUCCUUCAGCACCGGCCUCUUAACUCCAUUCAAAAUUCAGGAACCCUCGGUGGCCGCCUGCUGCCCCCCUGCACCCUGCCCUGAAUGAGGACGCUGGCUUUCUACCCACCCAGCCGGCUUCCUGUGGCAGCGUCCGACUGACCGAUCAGACUGACCGGCAAAGGGCCACCCAAGGAGAAGGCCGAGGAGGAGACGCAUGCGGGCCUGACCACUUUGUUCCCAGGGCAGAAGAGGAGAGUCUCACACCUUUCCAAGCCUGGCAAGGAGGCAGAGGCCCCAAAGAGGACCCCCGUGGCCCCCCC